Molecule: ribosomal RNA, 2908 nt
Filed under: Escherichia coli O104:H4 str. 2009EL-2050
Lineage: Bacteria; Pseudomonadati; Pseudomonadota; Gammaproteobacteria; Enterobacterales; Enterobacteriaceae
Description: bacterial LSU rRNA
Rfam family: Bacterial large subunit ribosomal RNA
Source: RNAcentral
GGUUAAGCGACUAAGCGUACACGGUGGAUGCCCUGGCAGUCAGAGGCGAUGAAGGACGUGCUAAUCUGCGAUAAGCGUCGGUAAGGUGAUAUGAACCGUUAUAACCGGCGAUUUCCGAAUGGGGAAACCCAGUGUGUUUCGACACACUAUCAUUAACUGAAUCCAUAGGUUAAUGAGGCGAACCGGGGGAACUGAAACAUCUAAGUACCCCGAGGAAAAGAAAUCAACCGAGAUUCCCCAAGUAGCGGCGAGCGAACGGGGAGCAGCCCAGAGCCUGAAUCAGUGUGUGUGUUAGUGGAAGCGUCUGGAAAGGCGCGCGAUACAGGGUGACAGCCCCGUACACAAAAAUGCACAUAUUGUGAGCUCGAUGAGUAGGGCGGGACACGUGGUAUCCUGUCUGAAUAUGGGGGGACCAUCCUCCAAGGCUAAAUACUCCUGACUGACCGAUUAGUUGAACCAGUACCGUGAGGGAAAGGCGAAAAGAACCCCGGCGAGGGGAGUGAAAAAGAACCUGAAACCGUGUACGUACAAGCAGUGGGAGCACGCUUAGGCGUGUGACUGCGUACCUUUUGUAUAAUGGGUCAGCGACUUAUAUUCUGUAGCAAGGUUAACCGAAUAGGGGAGCCGAAGGGAAACCGAGUCUUAACUGGGCGUUAAGUUGCAGGGUAUAGACCCGAAACCCGGUGAUCUAGCCAUGGGCAGGUUGAAGGUUGGGUAACACUAACUGGAGGACCGAACCGACUAAUGUUGAAAAAUUAGCGGAUGACUUGUGGCUGGGGGUGAAAGGCCAAUCAAACCGGGAGAUAGCUGGUUCUCCCCGAAAGCUAUUUAGGUAGCGCCUCGUGAAUUCAUCUCCGGGGGUAGAGCACUGUUUCGGCAAGGGGGUCAUCCCGACUUACCAACCCGAUGCAAACUGCGAAUACCGGAGAAUGUUAUCACGGGAGACACACGGCGGGUGCUAACGUCCGUCGUGAAGAGGGAAACAACCCAGACCGCCAGCUAAGGUCCCAAAGUCAUGGUUAAGUGGGAAACGAUGUGGGAAGGCCCAGACAGCCAGGAUGUUGGCUUAGAAGCAGCCAUCAUUUAAAGAAAGCGUAAUAGCUCACUGGUCGAGUCGGCCUGCGCGGAAGAUGUAACGGGGCUAAACCAUGCACCGAAGCUGCGGCAGCGACGCUGAUGCGUUGUUGGGUAGGGGAGCGUUCUGUAAGCCUGCGAAGGUGUGCUGUGAGGCAUGCUGGAGGUAUCAGAAGUGCGAAUGCUGACAUAAGUAACGAUAAAGCGGGUGAAAAGCCCGCUCGCCGGAAGACCAAGGGUUCCUGUCCAACGUUAAUCGGGGCAGGGUGAGUCGACCCCUAAGGCGAGGCCGAAAGGCGUAGUCGAUGGGAAACAGGUUAAUAUUCCUGUACUUGGUGUUACUGCGAAGGGGGGACGGAGAAGGCUAUGUUGGCCGGGCGACGGUUGUCCCGGUUUAAGCGUGUAGGCUGGUUUUCCAGGCAAAUCCGGAAAAUCAAGGCUGAGGCGUGAUGACGAGGCACUACGGUGCUGAAGCAACAAAUGCCCUGCUUCCAGGAAAAGCCUCUAAGCAUCAGGUAACAUCAAAUCGUACCCCAAACCGACACAGGUGGUCAGGUAGAGAAUACCAAGGCGCUUGAGAGAACUCGGGUGAAGGAACUAGGCAAAAUGGUGCCGUAACUUCGGGAGAAGGCACGCUGAUAUGUAGGUGAAGCGACUUGCUCGUGGAGCUGAAAUCAGUCGAAGAUACCAGCUGGCUGCAACUGUUUAUUAAAAACACAGCACUGUGCAAACACGAAAGUGGACGUAUACGGUGUGACGCCUGCCCGGUGCCGGAAGGUUAAUUGAUGGGGUCAGCGCAAGCGAAGCUCUUGAUCGAAGCCCCGGUAAACGGCGGCCGUAACUAUAACGGUCCUAAGGUAGCGAAAUUCCUUGUCGGGUAAGUUCCGACCUGCACGAAUGGCGUAAUGAUGGCCAGGCUGUCUCCACCCGAGACUCAGUGAAAUUGAACUCGCUGUGAAGAUGCAGUGUACCCGCGGCAAGACGGAAAGACCCCGUGAACCUUUACUAUAGCUUGACACUGAACAUUGAGCCUUGAUGUGUAGGAUAGGUGGGAGGCUUUGAAGUGUGGACGCCAGUCUGCAUGGAGCCGACCUUGAAAUACCACCCUUUAAUGUUUGAUGUUCUAACGUUGACCCGUAAUCCGGGUUGCGGACAGUGUCUGGUGGGUAGUUUGACUGGGGCGGUCUCCUCCUAAAGAGUAACGGAGGAGCACGAAGGUUGGCUAAUCCUGGUCGGACAUCAGGAGGUUAGUGCAAUGGCAUAAGCCAGCUUGACUGCGAGCGUGACGGCGCGAGCAGGUGCGAAAGCAGGUCAUAGUGAUCCGGUGGUUCUGAAUGGAAGGGCCAUCGCUCAACGGAUAAAAGGUACUCCGGGGAUAACAGGCUGAUACCGCCCAAGAGUUCAUAUCGACGGCGGUGUUUGGCACCUCGAUGUCGGCUCAUCACAUCCUGGGGCUGAAGUAGGUCCCAAGGGUAUGGCUGUUCGCCAUUUAAAGUGGUACGCGAGCUGGGUUUAGAACGUCGUGAGACAGUUCGGUCCCUAUCUGCCGUGGGCGCUGGAGAACUGAGGGGGGCUGCUCCUAGUACGAGAGGACCGGAGUGGACGCAUCACUGGUGUUCGGGUUGUCAUGCCAAUGGCACUGCCCGGUAGCUAAAUGCGGAAGAGAUAAGUGCUGAAAGCAUCUAAGCACGAAACUUGCCCCGAGAUGAGUUCUCCCUGACUCCUUGAGAGUCCUGAAGGAACGUUGAAGACGACGACGUUGAUAGGCCGGGUGUGUAAGCGCAGCGAUGCGUUGAGCUAACCGGUACUAAUGAACCGUGAGGCUUAACCUUAC